Molecule: ribosomal RNA, 253 nt
Filed under: uncultured bacterium
Lineage: Bacteria
Description: partial 16S ribosomal RNA
Rfam family: Bacterial small subunit ribosomal RNA
Source: RNAcentral
UACGUAGGCAGCGAGCGUUGUUCGGAAUUACUGGGCGUAAAGAGUGUGUAGGCGGUGCUCUAAGUUCGGUGUGAAAUCUCCCGGCUUAACUGGGAGGGUGCGCCGGAAACUGGAGUGCUCGAGCGUGGGAGAGGAAAGCGGAAUUCCUGGUGUAGCGGUGAAAUGCGCAGAUAUCAGGAGGAACACCGGUGGCGAAGGCGGGUCUCUGGGCCGAUACUGACGCUGAGGAGCGAAAGCGUGGGGAGCGAACAGG